Molecule: ribosomal RNA, 370 nt
Filed under: uncultured bacterium
Lineage: Bacteria
Description: bacterial SSU rRNA
Rfam family: Bacterial small subunit ribosomal RNA
Source: RNAcentral
AAUGAACGCUGGCGGCGCGCCUAAUACAUGCAAGUCGAGCGAGAAGACGUAGCAAUACGUUUGUAAAGCGGCGAGCGGGUGAGGAAUACAUGGGUAACCUACCCUCGAGUGGGGAAUAACUAGCCGAAAGGUUAGCUAAUACCGCGUACGCUCCUUGGACUUCGGUUCAGGGAGGAAAGCGAUACCGUGGGUAUCGCGCUCUUGGUUGGGCUCAUGUCCUAUCAGCUUGUUGGGAGGUAACGGCUCACCAAGGCUUCGACGGGGUAGCUGGUCUGAGAGGACGAUCAGCCACACUGGCACUGCGACACGGGCCAGACUCCUACGGGAGGCAGCAGUAAGGAAUAUUGCGCAAUGGGUGAAAGCCUGACGC